CCGCAAUGUACGAAAGUCUGACGGAGCGAUGUCGCGUGAGUGAUGAAGGUCUUCGGAUCGUAAAACUCUGUUGCUAGGGAAGAACAAGUAUCGGAGUAAUAUGCCGGUACCUUUCCGGUACCUAACCAGAAAGCCCCGGCUAACUACGUGCCAGCAUCCGCGGUAAUACGUAGGGGGCAAGCGUUUUCCGGAAUUAUUGGGCGUAAAGGGCACGCAGGCGGUUAUUUAAGUCUGAUGUGAAAUCUUGUGGCUUAACCACAAGCGGUCAUUGGAAACUGGAUAACUUGAGUACAGAAGAGGAGAGUGGAAUUCCACGUGUAGCGGUGAAAUGCGUAGAGAUGUGGAGGAACACCAGUGGCGAGGGCGGCUCUCUGAUCUGUAAUUGACGCUGAGGUGCGAAAGCGUGGGUAGCGAACA
This 417-nucleotide ribosomal RNA is filed under the name uncultured bacterium. RNAcentral's name for it is "partial 16S ribosomal RNA". It matches the Rfam family "Bacterial small subunit ribosomal RNA", at positions 366 to 774 of the family's 1533-position model. The record is from RNAcentral.